AACGCACCUUGCGCCCUUUGGUAUUCCGAAGGGCAUGCCUGUUUGAGUGUCAUUAAAUUAUCAACCUUGUUCGCUUUUCGGAGCUUGAGCUAGGCUUGGAUGUGAGGGUUUUUGCUGGCUUCCUUCAGUGGAUGGUCUGCUCCCUUUAAAUGCAUUAGUGGGAUCUCUUUUGUGGACCGUCACUUGGUGUGAUAAUUAUCUAUGCCAUUGACUUGCUUAACGAGAAUCUGCUUAUAACCGUCUCGCAAGGGACAACAACUUUAUUGACAAUUUGACCUCAAAUCAGGUAGGACUACCCGCUGAACUUAA
RNAcentral lists this unclassified non-coding RNA (309 nucleotides) under uncultured Mycena. RNAcentral describes it as "partial contains 5.8S ribosomal RNA, internal transcribed spacer 2, and large subunit ribosomal RNA". The stretch from base 1 to 52 matches the Rfam family "5.8S ribosomal RNA", at positions 103 to 154 of the family's 154-position model. Lineage: Eukaryota; Fungi; Basidiomycota; Agaricomycetes; Agaricales; Tricholomataceae. The record is from RNAcentral.